RNAcentral lists this long non-coding RNA (355 nucleotides) under Musa acuminata (dwarf banana). RNAcentral describes it as "long non-coding RNA (MACU_LNC008065)". The record is from RNAcentral. Lineage: Eukaryota; Viridiplantae; Streptophyta; Magnoliopsida; Zingiberales; Musaceae.
UACUACAACUUCGAAAAUUUUGACAAGUAUACAUAAAAUCUAUGUUGUUUUAUAGAAUUCAAAACAUCAUAUGUAUUCCACGAAGGAAAUGGUAUAGCUAAUUGUCGAUUGACUUUACACAUUAGAGCUAAUAAAUUUCUUUGUAUAUAGAUGAUGAAUUAUCGAUAGAAAUAUUUGUGUUUAUUUACAUAGAUGAUAAAUUAUAUUUUAAUUUCGAUAUAAACAAUUUUUUUUAUCUGCAUUGCAUCAUUAAACCUUAAUCUGAAGUUUGGAAAAGAAAAAAAAGCUUUAGAAAGGGAUUUUGGAAAAAAAAAAAAAAAACCUUAGAAAGAAAACCUGAAUCUCCAUUACAUAU